UCUGCCCUCCUCCCAGUUCCAUGCUAGGUGCCAAAUCUGUGCCUCAAAACACUUAGCUUUUGGUUAUCACACCUUUUUCAUUUGUUCUCCUUUCCACCACCCUCACUUUCUCUUUCAACUCAUAUUUCUGCCUAACCUAGCACUCUGCCUUCAUUCUCUACCACUUCAAAGCAACUUUGCAGCCACCAGUAGGUAUCAUUCUGCUGACAAGCCUUAGAUAUUCCCCACUGUGUAGAAGAGUAAAAUCCAAACUUUGCAGUCUGCCUGCCGCCACCAUUGCCACUACAGCAGACACAUCAAACCACAUAGCACCCUGGACCUCCUUUUUUUCCCUCACUCGGAUUCCUCAAGGGCUCUCUGGAGUGGUCUAAUAAGACGAACAGUAUAAAGGAAAGAGCUGAGUCUGAAUUCCAGUGUCCUUCAUUUUGUUAUCUCUUGGGAAUUCCUCUGAGCGUUGGUUUAUUCCUUGCUGUCUAAG
This is a long non-coding RNA of Perognathus longimembris pacificus (Pacific pocket mouse), 478 nucleotides long. RefSeq lists it as uncharacterized. The record is from RefSeq and is a predicted model, not a curated record. NCBI's taxonomy places the organism in Eukaryota, Metazoa, Chordata, Mammalia, Rodentia, Heteromyidae. The transcript is spliced from 3 exons.